Molecule: small nuclear RNA, 305 nt
Filed under: Castor canadensis (American beaver)
Lineage: Eukaryota; Metazoa; Chordata; Mammalia; Rodentia; Castoridae
Description: 7SK RNA (ENSCCNG00000017972.1)
Rfam family: 7SK RNA
About the family: 7SK was discovered as an abundant small nuclear RNA in the mid-70s but a possible function has only recently been suggested. Two independent studies have found that 7SK RNA binds the CDK9/cyclin T complex (known as elongation factor P-TEFb). P-TEFb activates transcription by phosphorylating the C-terminal domain of RNA polymerase II.
Source: RNAcentral
GGAUGUGAGGGCGAUCUGGCUGCAACAUCUGUCACCCCAUUGAUCGCCAGGGUUGAUUCGGCUGAUCUGGCUGGCUAGGCGGGUGUCCCCUUCCUCCCUCACCGCUCCAUGUGCGUCCCUCCCGAAGCUGCGCGCUCGGUCGAAGAGGACGACCAUCCCCGAUAGAGGAGGACCAUUCUUCGGUCAAGGGUAUACGAGUAGCUGCGCUCCCCUGCUAGAACCUCCAAACAAGCUCUCAGGUGCCCGUUGGGGUCUGGAAUAGGAGACAUUGUGAAAGCUGACAGCAAGAUGCCUCUGUUAUUCUU